This 73-nucleotide transfer RNA is filed under the name Marmota monax (woodchuck). RNAcentral describes it as "tRNA.Ala". The record is from RNAcentral. Lineage: Eukaryota; Metazoa; Chordata; Mammalia; Rodentia; Sciuridae.
UUGGGUAUAGCUUAGUGGCAGAGUGUGUACUUAGCAUGAACAAAGAUCUGGGUUCAAUACCCACCCCCUUAAA